RNAcentral lists this ribosomal RNA (463 nucleotides) under uncultured bacterium. Its description in RNAcentral is "partial 16S ribosomal RNA". It matches the Rfam family "Bacterial small subunit ribosomal RNA", at positions 28 to 507 of the family's 1533-position model. The record is from RNAcentral.
GACGAACGCUGGCGGCGUGCUUAACACAUGCAAGUCGAACGGAAAGUCCGUGCUUUUGUGGGGUGCUCGAGGGGCGAACGGGUGAGUAACACGUGAGUACCCUGCCCUUGACUUUGGGAUAUCUUCAGGAAACUGGGGCUAAUACCGGAUAGGAGCUCCUGCUGCAUGGUGGGGGUUGGAAAGUUUCGGCGGUUGGGGAUGGACUCGCGGUUGAUUAGCUUGGUGGUAGGGUAGUGUCUUACCAAGGCUUUGACGCAUAGCUGGCCUGAGAGGGUGACCGGCCACACUGGGACUGAGACACGGACCCGACUGCGACGGGAGGGAGCAGUAUGGAACAUUGUAGGAGGGGCGAAAGUCUGAUACAGCAAUGCCGCGGAAGUGAUGAUGGCCGUAGGGUUGUAAAGCUGCUUUAGCCGAGAUGUUAAUGGCAGUACCGGGAGAAUAAGCACCGGCUAACUACGUG